This 640-nucleotide ribosomal RNA is filed under the name Trichoderma sp. BAB-3842. Its description in RNAcentral is "eukaryotic LSU rRNA". The stretch from base 241 to 394 matches the Rfam family "5.8S ribosomal RNA". The record is from RNAcentral. Lineage: Eukaryota; Fungi; Ascomycota; Sordariomycetes; Hypocreales; Hypocreaceae.
AGCGGAGGGAUCAUUACCGAGUUUACAACUCCCAAACCCCAAUGUGAACGUUACCAAUCUGUUGCCUCGGCGGGAUUCUCUUGCCCCGGGCGCGUCGCAGCCCCGGAUCCCAUGGCGCCCGCCGGAGGACCAACUCCAAACUCUUUUUUUCUCUCCGUCGCGGCUCCCGUCGCGGCUCUGUUUUAUUUUUGCUCUGAGCCUUUCUCGGCGACCCUAGCGGGCGUCUCGAAAAUGAAUCAAAACUUUCAACAACGGAUCUCUUGGUUCUGGCAUCGAUGAAGAACGCAGCGAAAUGCGAUAAGUAAUGUGAAUUGCAGAAUUCAGUGAAUCAUCGAAUCUUUGAACGCACAUUGCGCCCGCCAGUAUUCUGGCGGGCAUGCCUGUCCGAGCGUCAUUUCAACCCUCGAACCCCUCCGGGGGGUCGGCGUUGGGGAUCGGCCCCUCACCGGGCCGCCCCCGAAAUACAGUGGCGGUCUCGCCGCAGCCUCUCCUGCGCAGUAGUUUGCACACUCGCACCGGGAGCGCGGCGCGGCCACAGCCGUAAAACACCCCAAACUUCUGAAAUGUUGACCUCGGAUCAGGUAGGAAUACCCGCUGAACUUAAGCAUAUCAAUAAGCGGAGGAAAAGAAACCAACAGGG